This 568-nucleotide ribosomal RNA is filed under the name Salmonella enterica subsp. enterica serovar Agona. RNAcentral describes it as "partial 23S ribosomal RNA". It matches the Rfam family "Bacterial large subunit ribosomal RNA", at positions 1 to 597 of the family's 2925-position model. Lineage: Bacteria; Pseudomonadati; Pseudomonadota; Gammaproteobacteria; Enterobacterales; Enterobacteriaceae. RNAcentral also lists the same sequence under 4 other names. The record is from RNAcentral.
GGGUUGUGAGGUUAAGCGACUAAGCGUACACGGUGGAUGCCCUGGCAGUCAGAGGCGAUGAAGGGCGUGCUAAUCUGCGAUAAGCGCCGGUAAGGUGAUAUGAACCGUUAUAACCGGCGAUACCCGAAUGGGGAAACCCAGUGUGAUUCGUCACACUAUCAUUAACUGAAUCCAUAGGUUAAUGAGGCGAACCGGGGGAACUGAAACAUCUAAGUACCCCGAGGAAAAGAAAUCAACCGAGAUUCCCCCAGUAGCGGCGAGCGAACGGGGAGGAGCCCAGAGCCUGAAUCAGCAUGUGUGUUAGUGGAAGCGUCUGGAAAGGCGCGCGAUACAGGGUGACAGCCCCGUACACAAAAGCGCAUGUGCUGUGAGCUCGAUGAGUAGGGCGGGACACGUGGUAUCCUGUCUGAAUAUGGGGGGACCAUCCUCCAAGGCUAAAUACUCCUGACUGACCGAUAGUGAACCAGUACCGUGAGGGAAAGGCGAAAAGAACCCCGGCGAGGGGAGUGAAAAAGAACCUGAAACCGUGUACGUACAAGCAGUGGGAGCACAGGUUUACCUGUGUGAC